Molecule: ribosomal RNA, 355 nt
Filed under: uncultured eukaryote
Lineage: Eukaryota
Description: SSU rRNA
Rfam family: Eukaryotic small subunit ribosomal RNA
Source: RNAcentral
AGAGCAUAUAUUAAAGUUGUUGCAGUUAAAAAGCUCGUAGUUGGAUUUCUGGUUUAAUGCACCUGGCCCGCGGCCAUUAGGCUUGUGAGUGCCGGCGCGCGUUUACCAUCCUUCUAGAAAACGAUUCUGCCAUUCACUUGGUUGGGAUCGCGAUCUAGAUCUUUUACUUUGAAAAAAUUAGAGUGUUUAAAGCAGGCUUUUGCUAUGAAUACAUUAGCAUGGAAUAAUAAUCUAGGACUUCGGUUCUAUUUUGUUGGUUUCUAUAACUGAAGUAAUGAUUGAUAGGGAUAGUUGGGGGUGCUAGUAUUGGCCGGCCAGAGGUGAAAUUCUUGGAUUCGGUCAAGACUAACUUAUG